AUGUUUAGUUGCACAAAUAGAUGGUUUUUUGCACAGGCACUUCACCCUGUCUAUUUUUUACAUAUGGGUUGGUUUAUUUGCAUGCAUCCAGGCGAAAGUUGGCUUGGAUCCAUGUUUAGUUGCACAGGAAAGUGUUUUAUUGUGCAGAGAUCAGAUUCAACUCUAUUUGCUGCUUCAUGUUCCUUCUUCCUCCAACUAUGGAGAAGACCGGAGAAGAUUUGUGGCAGAUCCAGAGGGAAAGGGAAGGGGAAAGUGAAGAAGGAUGAUCUGGAGGCUAGAGGGAAGUUACCUGAUGUUGCUGCCUGCUAUGGCUUUGUACUCCCUCUUCUUAGAAUUGAAGCUUUUCUGGCCAAUUUCUUCACCUAG
RNAcentral lists this ribosomal RNA (366 nucleotides) under Triticum aestivum (bread wheat). Its description in RNAcentral is "partial small subunit ribosomal RNA". The record is from RNAcentral. Lineage: Eukaryota; Viridiplantae; Streptophyta; Magnoliopsida; Poales; Poaceae.